RNAcentral lists this transfer RNA (84 nucleotides) under Candidatus Physcosoma equi. Its description in RNAcentral is "tRNA-Leu". It matches the Rfam family "tRNA". From Rfam's summary of the family: Transfer RNA (tRNA) molecules are approximately 80 nucleotides in length. Lineage: Bacteria; Pseudomonadati; Spirochaetota; Spirochaetia; Spirochaetales; Sphaerochaetaceae. The record is from RNAcentral.
GGCAUGAUGGCGGAAUUGGUAGACGCAGUAGACUCAAAAUCUGCCGAGGGCAACCUCUUGUGGGUUCGAUUCCCACUCGUGCUA